GAGUUAAGGGUCCAACCAGGCAGAUUCACUUUUCUGCCACCGCAAUACCUUACCCAUGGGAUAAUGGAAUAGCCCCCCUGUCCUCCUAUCUUCAGUUGGUUAACUUGUAGAGGAUCAGGGUAAUGAUUAAUAGGGAUAGUUGGGGGCAUUAAUAUUUAAUUGUCAGAGGUGAAAUUCUCGGAUUUAUGAAAGAUUAACUUCUGCGCAAGCAUCUGCCAAGGAUGUUUUCACUAAUCAAGAACGAAAGUUAGGGGAUCGAAGACGAUCACAUACCGUCGUAGUCUUAACCAUAAACGAUGCCGACCAGCGAUUAGGAGACGUUGAAUCCAAAACACCACCCUACAUAAUUCAGUAUAUGGCCCCUCCCAUGGCCCCAUAUUGCUUGCGCAUGGCCCCCCCCGAAUGACUCCCUAGCAGCCCUCGCACACCCCGCCCCCCCCCCCCC
RNAcentral lists this ribosomal RNA (445 nucleotides) under Acanthamoeba sp. RNAcentral describes it as "partial small subunit ribosomal RNA". It matches the Rfam family "Eukaryotic small subunit ribosomal RNA", at positions 759 to 1081 of the family's 1831-position model. The record is from RNAcentral. Lineage: Eukaryota; Discosea; Longamoebia; Acanthamoebidae.